This 466-nucleotide ribosomal RNA is filed under the name uncultured bacterium. RNAcentral describes it as "partial 16S ribosomal RNA". It matches the Rfam family "Bacterial small subunit ribosomal RNA", at positions 28 to 507 of the family's 1533-position model. The record is from RNAcentral.
GACGAACGCUGGCGGCGCGCCUAACACAUGCCAGUCGAACGAGCGAGCGAGAGCUUGCUUUCUUGAGCGAGUGGCGAACGGGUGAGUAACGCGUGAGGAACCUGCCUCAAAGAGGGGGACAACAGUGGGAAACGACUGCUAAUACCGCAUAAGCCCACGACCCGGCAUCGGGUUGAGGGAAAAGGAGCAAUCCGCUUUGAGAUGGCCUCGCGUCCGAUUAGCUAGUUGGUGAGGUAACGGCCCACCAAGGCGACGAUCGGUAGCCGGACUAAGAGGUUGAACGGCCACAUUGGGACUGAGACACAGCCCAGACUCCUGCGAGAGGCAGCAGUAGGGAAUAUUGGACAAUGGGGGAAACCCUGAUGCAGCGACGCAGCGUGGAGCAAGAUGGUCUUCUGAUUGUAAACUCCUAUUGUUAAGGAAGAUAAUGACGGUACUCAACAAGGAAGUGACGGCUAACUACGUG